This 253-nucleotide ribosomal RNA is filed under the name uncultured bacterium. RNAcentral describes it as "partial 16S ribosomal RNA". It matches the Rfam family "Bacterial small subunit ribosomal RNA", at positions 524 to 776 of the family's 1533-position model. The record is from RNAcentral.
UACGUAGGGUGCGAGCGUUAAUCGGAAUUACUGGGCGUAAAGGGCGCGCAGGCGGCCCUCCAAGUCAGGCGUGAAAGCCCCGGGCUCAACCCGGGAAUAGCGCUUGAGACUGGGGGGCUUGAGUUCGGGAGAGGAGAGUGGAAUUCCCAGUGUAGAGGUGAAAUUCGUAGAUAUUGGGAAGAACACCGGUGGCGAAGGCGGCUCUCUGGACCGACACUGACGCUGAGGCGCGAAAGCGUGGGGAGCAAACAGG